UACGUAGGGGGCAAGCGUUGUCCGGAAUCAUUGGGCGUAAAGCGCGUGUAGGCGGCCCGAUUAGUCCGCUCUGAAAGUCCAGGGCUCAACCCUGGGAUGCGGGUGGAUACUGUCGGGCUAGAGUCCGGAAGAGGCGAGUGGAAUUCCUGGUGUAGCGGUGAAAUGCGCAGAUAUCAGGAGGAACACCAAUGGCGAAGGCAGCUCGCUGGGACGUGACUGACGCUGAGACGCGAAAGCGUGGGGAGCAAACAGG
RNAcentral lists this ribosomal RNA (253 nucleotides) under uncultured bacterium. RNAcentral describes it as "partial 16S ribosomal RNA". It matches the Rfam family "Bacterial small subunit ribosomal RNA", at positions 524 to 776 of the family's 1533-position model. The record is from RNAcentral.